GCUAUAGGGGCGGCCGAUGGCGGAUUAGCUAGUUGGUGGGGUAAAGGCCUACCAAGGCGACGAUCCGUAGCUGGUCUGAGAGGACGACCAGCCACACUGGGACUGAGACACGGCCCAGACUCCUACGGGAGGCAGCAGUGGGGAAUUUUGGACAAUGGGCGAAAGCCUGAUCCAGCAAUGCCGCGUGUGUGAAGAAGGCCUUCGGGUUGUAAAGCACUUUUGUCCGGAAAGAAAUCCCUGAUCCUAAUACGGUCGGGGGAUGACGGUACCGGAAGAAUAAGCACCGGCUAACUACGUGCCAGCAGCCGCGGUAAUACGUAGGGUGCAAGCGUUAAUCGGAAUUACUGGGCGUAAAGCGUGCGCAGGCGGU
RNAcentral lists this ribosomal RNA (370 nucleotides) under Paraburkholderia sp. RNAcentral's name for it is "bacterial SSU rRNA". It matches the Rfam family "Bacterial small subunit ribosomal RNA", at positions 217 to 579 of the family's 1533-position model. The record is from RNAcentral. Lineage: Bacteria; Pseudomonadati; Pseudomonadota; Betaproteobacteria; Burkholderiales; Burkholderiaceae.